This 323-nucleotide ribosomal RNA is filed under the name uncultured bacterium. RNAcentral's name for it is "partial 16S ribosomal RNA". The record is from RNAcentral.
GAACGUAUUCACCGCGACGUUGCUGAUCCACGAUUACUAGCGAUUCCAGCUUCAUGGAGUCGAGUUGCAGACAUCCAAUCCGAACUGGGGCUGGUUUUGGGGGAUUAGCUCCACCUCGCGGUUUGGCAACCCAUUGUACCAGCCAUUGUAGCACGUGUGCAGCCCAGGACAUAAGGGGCAUGCGGACUUGACGUCAUCCUCGCCUUCCUCCUGAUUGCUCAGGCAGUUCCGAAAGAGUGCCCGGCCGAACCGAUGGCAACAUCCGGUGAGGGUUGCGCUCGUUGCGGGACUUAACCCAACAUCUCACGACACGAGCUGACGAC